This 390-nucleotide ribosomal RNA is filed under the name Papilio memnon memnon. RNAcentral's name for it is "partial 16S ribosomal RNA". The record is from RNAcentral. Lineage: Eukaryota; Metazoa; Arthropoda; Insecta; Lepidoptera; Papilionidae.
GGUAUUUUGACUGUACAAAGGUAGCAUAAUCAAUAGUCUCUUAAUUGGUGACUUGUAUGAAAGAUUGGAUGAGAUAUAUACUGUCUCUAAUUAAUUUAUAGAAUUUAAUUUUUUAGUAAAAAAGCUAAAAUAAGUUUAAAAGACGAGAAGACCCUAUAGAGUUUAAUAAUUUAUUUAAUUAUUAUUAAUAUAUAAUUUUUAAAAUUAAAAUUAAAUAGAUUAUUUUGUUGGGGUGAUAGAAAAAUUAAAUUAACUUUUUUUUGUUAUUUACAUUAAUUUAUGAUUAAGUGAUCCAUUUAUAAUGAUUAAAAGAAAAAAUUACCUUAGGGAUAACAGCGUAAUUUUUUUUUUUAGUUCAAAUAGGAAAAAAAGUUUGCGACCUCGAUGUUG